GGGCCCGCACAAGCAGUGGAGCAUGUGGUUUAAUUCGAUGCAACGCGAAGAACCUUACCAGGCCUUGACAUCCCCGGAACUUUCUAGAGAUAGAUUGGGUCGCUUCGGGAACCGGGUGACAGGUGCUGCAUGGCUGUCGUCAGCUCGUGUCGUGAGAUGUUGGGUUAAGUCCCGUAACGAGCGCAACCCUUGUCCUUAGUUGCCAGCACAUAAAUGGUGGGAAACUCUAAGGAGACUGCCGGUGACAAACCGGAGAAGGUGGGGACGACGUCAAGUCAUCAUGGCCCUUACGGCCUGGGCUACACACGUGCUACAAUGGCUAGGACAGACGGCUGCAAAACCAGCGAUGGGGAGCUAA
This 358-nucleotide ribosomal RNA is filed under the name uncultured bacterium. RNAcentral's name for it is "bacterial SSU rRNA". It matches the Rfam family "Bacterial small subunit ribosomal RNA", at positions 917 to 1271 of the family's 1533-position model. The record is from RNAcentral.